Arvicola amphibius (Eurasian water vole) is the source of this 644-nucleotide long non-coding RNA. RefSeq lists it as uncharacterized. The record is from RefSeq and is a predicted model, not a curated record. Lineage: Eukaryota; Metazoa; Chordata; Mammalia; Rodentia; Cricetidae. The transcript is spliced from 4 exons.
UGAUAUGCAAGACGAUGUUUAUUUCAGGACCUCUGGCUCAAAGAAACCAAUAGGGGGUUAUCUCCAUGUGAAUUAUGGUGGAAUUAUUCUCAUGCUGAACUUAUGCAGGAAUAAGGGAUAGGCCUCCUAUGGGAGUCAACAAAGCAUGGCACAUCAAGUUGAGCUAGGACCAAGCUCCUCCCCCUACAUCAAAGUUGAGUGAGGCAACUCAGAACGUGGAAUGAGUUCCCAAAAAUCAUUCUACAUGCUGACAUCCAGAAAUGCCAGCACCAUUUGUUGAAGAUGCUUUCUUUCUUCAAUUGUAUAAUUUUGGCUCCUUCAUCAAAAAAUCAGGUGUUCACAGAAUUUGUUGUUUAGCAUCAUGAGAUCUUAAACAUUUCCCAUCACAACCUUCUCUGAGUUCAAGAUCCAUAAAGCACAAGUCUUUACAGUGUUACAUCAAGGUCUACAGGAGAUUGGUUCAAGUGAUCAAUAUUUAGAGACACCACAAUAAAUACUUUGUGAAGACCUCUCCUCUUGCCCACGAGGUUGAACUGAAUGGAAUUGUACUCGCCACAUCACCUAUGAAAACUGGAUCUCAACCUCAUUUUGUUGUCAGAGGUAAAUGUGAAGCUGAUACGAACACCUUAAGAUUUAAUCAAUAG